RNAcentral lists this long non-coding RNA (224 nucleotides) under Brassica napus (rape). RNAcentral describes it as "long non-coding RNA (BNAP_LNC015316)". Lineage: Eukaryota; Viridiplantae; Streptophyta; Magnoliopsida; Brassicales; Brassicaceae. The record is from RNAcentral.
GUGCUCUGAUUCCCAACCUAUGACCAUGAAUGUGAGGUUGAUCAUAGGUUCCAAUGGCACGAGCUUGGCGCUAUGGAUGUUGUGGCUGGCGCUGUGGUCUAAAAUGAUUAGCUCCUGGACCAUUGCCUCCUUGGGCUUCACCAUCUUGAGGCAGAUUCUCCAUAUCAAACCCCAACCCUUGCAAGUGAGCCUGUUGCUCUACUUCUCUUCUUUGUCUUGCUAUC